GAUGAACGCUGGCGGCGUGCCUAAUACAUGCAAGUCGAGCGAACGGACGAGAAGCUUGCUUUUCUGAUGUUAGCGGCGGACGGGUGAGUAACACGUGGAUAACCUACCUAUAAGACUGGGAUAACUUCGGGAAACCGGAGCUAAUACCGGAUAAUAUUUUGAACCGCAUGGUUCAUAAGUGAAAGACGGUCUUGCUGUCACUUAUAGAUGGAUCCGCGCUGCAUUAGCUAGUUGGUAAGGUAACGGCUUACCAAGGCAACGAUGCAUAGCCGACCUGAGAGGGUGAUCGGCCACACUGGAACUGGGACACGGUCCAGACUCCUACGGGAGGCAGCAGUAGGGAAUCUUCCGCAAUGGGCGAAAGCCUGACGGAGCAACGCCGCGUGAGUGAUGAAGGUCUUCGGAUCGUAAAACUCUGUUAUUAGGGAAGAACAUAUGUGUAAGUAACUGUGCACAUCUUGACGGUACCUAAUCAGAAAGCCACGGCUAACUACGUG
Molecule: ribosomal RNA, 497 nt
Filed under: uncultured bacterium
Lineage: Bacteria
Description: partial 16S ribosomal RNA
Rfam family: Bacterial small subunit ribosomal RNA
Source: RNAcentral